This 199-nucleotide ribosomal RNA is filed under the name uncultured bacterium. Its description in RNAcentral is "partial 16S ribosomal RNA". It matches the Rfam family "Bacterial small subunit ribosomal RNA", at positions 328 to 539 of the family's 1533-position model. The record is from RNAcentral.
ACGCUCGACACCUACGGGAGGCAGCAGUCGGGAAUAUUGCGCAAUGGAGGGAACUCUGACGCAGUGACGCCGCGUAUAGGAAGAAGGUUUUCGGAUUGUAAACUAUUGUCGUUAGGGAAGAGAAAGGACAGUACCUAAGGAGGAAGCUCCGGCUAACUACGUGCAAGCAGCCGCGGUAAUCUGAGCGGGCUGGCAAGGC